CCUACGGGUGGCUGCAGUGAGGAAUAUUGGUCAAUGGGCUUACGCCUGAACCAGCCAAGUCGCGUGAGGGAAGACUGCCCUAUGGGUUGUAAACCUCUUUUGUCAGGGAGCAACGCCGGCUACGUGUAGCCUUACUGAUAGUCCCUGAAGAAAAAGCAUCGGCUAACUCCGUGCCAGCAGCCGCGGUAAUACGGAGGAUGCGAGCGUUAUCCGGAUUUAUUGGGUUUAAAGGGUGCGUAGGCGGAAUGCCAAGUCAGCGGUAAAAUCGCGGGGCUCAACCUCGCUCCGCCGUUGAUACUGGCGGUCUUGAGUGGGCGAGAGGUAGGCGGAAUGCGUGGUGUAGCGGUGAAAUGCAUAGAUAUCACGCAGAACUCCGAUUGCGAAGGCAGCAUACCGGAGCCCAACUGACGCUGAAGCACGAAAGCGUGGGUAUCGAACAGGAUUAGAUACCCGGGUAGUC
This 460-nucleotide ribosomal RNA is filed under the name uncultured bacterium. Its description in RNAcentral is "partial 16S ribosomal RNA". It matches the Rfam family "Bacterial small subunit ribosomal RNA", at positions 338 to 795 of the family's 1533-position model. The record is from RNAcentral.